GAGUUUGAACCUGGCUCAGGACGAACGCUGGCGGCGCGCCUAACACAUGCAAGUCGAACGGAGAUAUUUUGUUUGAAGUUUUCGGAUGGACGACGGGAUAUCUUAGUGGCGAACGGGUGAGUAACACGUGAGUAACCUGCCUUUCAGAGGGGGACAACAUUUGGAAACGAAUGCUAAUACCGCAUAAGACCACGGUACCGCAUGGUAGAGAGGUCAAAGGAGAAAUCCGCUGAAAGAUGGGCUCGCGUCCGAUUAGGUAGUUGGUGAGGUAACGGCCCACCAAGCCGACGAUCGGUAGCCGGACUGAGAGGUUGAACGGCCACAUUGGGACUGAGACACGGCCCAGACUCCUACGGGAGGCAGCAGUGGGGGAUAUUGCACAAUGGGGGAAACCCUGAUGCAGCGACGCCGCGUGGAGGAAGAAAGUCUUCGGAUUGUAAACUCCUGUCCGAGGGGACGAUAAUGACGGUACCCUUGGAGGAAGCACCGGCUAACUACGUGCCAGCAGCCGCGGUAAAACG
RNAcentral lists this ribosomal RNA (521 nucleotides) under uncultured bacterium. Its description in RNAcentral is "bacterial SSU rRNA". It matches the Rfam family "Bacterial small subunit ribosomal RNA", at positions 9 to 527 of the family's 1533-position model. The record is from RNAcentral.